RNAcentral lists this ribosomal RNA (405 nucleotides) under Triticum aestivum (bread wheat). RNAcentral's name for it is "partial small subunit ribosomal RNA". The record is from RNAcentral. Lineage: Eukaryota; Viridiplantae; Streptophyta; Magnoliopsida; Poales; Poaceae.
AUGGCGGCAAACGCGGCGCCUUCGGAGACGGCGCCGCUCCCGCUGGACGGCCGCGUCGCGCUCGUCACGGGCGGCUCCCGCGGCAUCGGCCGGGAGGUGUCCUCCCACCUGGCCGCCCUCGGCGCGCGCGUCCUGAUCAACUACGCGUCGGAAUCGGCCAGCGCCGCCGCGCUCGCCGCGGAGCUCAACUCGCGCGGCGGCGGCGGCGGCCUCCGCGCCGUGGCGGCCCAGGCCGACGUGUCCGACCCGGCCGCCGUGCGCGCGCUCUUCGACCGCGCCGAGGAGGCCUUCGGCUCCCCGCCGCACGUCGUGGUCGCCUGCGCCGGGCUGCUCAACCCCAAGUACCCGGCGCUCGCCGACACCACCGUGGAGGACUUCGACGCCAUGUUCGAAUUCAAUUCCUAA